GACGAACGCUGGCGGCGUGCCUAAUACAUGCAAGUAGAACGCUGAAGGAGGAGCUUGCUUCUCUGGAUGAGUUGCGAACGGGUGAGUAACGCGUAGGUAACCUGCCUGGUAGCGGGGGAUAACUAUUGGAAACGAUAGCUAAUACCGCAUAAGAGUAGAUGUUGCAUGACAUUUGCUUAAAAGGUGCAAUUGCAUCACUACCAGAUGGACCUGCGUUGUAUUAGCUAGUUGGUGGGGUAACGGCUCACCAAGGCGACGAUACAUAGCCGACCUGAGAGGGUGAUCGGCCACACUGGGGAUGAGACACGGCCCAGACUCCUACGGGAGGCAGCAGUAGGGAAUCUUCGGCAAUGGACGGAAGUCUGACCGAGCAACGCCGCGUGAGUGAAGAAGGUUUUCGGAUCGUAAAGCUCUGUUGUAAGAGAAGAACGAGUGUGAGAGUGGAAAGUUCACACUGUGACGGUAGCUUACCAGAAAGGGACGGCUAACUACGUG
RNAcentral lists this ribosomal RNA (495 nucleotides) under uncultured bacterium. RNAcentral's name for it is "partial 16S ribosomal RNA". It matches the Rfam family "Bacterial small subunit ribosomal RNA", at positions 28 to 507 of the family's 1533-position model. The record is from RNAcentral.